ACGAACGCUGGCGGCAGGCUUAACACAUGCAAGUCGAGCGCCCCGCAAGGGGAGCGGCAGACGGGUGAGUAACGCGUGGGAAUCUACCCAUCUCUACGGAAUAACGCAUGGAAACGUGUGCUAAUACCGUAUACGUCCUUCGGGAGAAAGAUUUAUCGGAGAUGGAUGAGCCCGCGUUGGAUUAGCUAGUUGGUGGGGUAAAGGCCUACCAAGGCGACGAUCCAUAGCUGGUCUGAGAGGAUGAUCAGCCACACUGGGACUGAGACACGGCCCAGACUCCUACGGGAGGCAGCAGUGGGGAAUAUUGGACAAUGGGCGCAAGCCUGAUCCAGCCAUGCCGCGUGAGUGAUGAAGGCCCUAGGGUUGUAAAGCUCUUUCACCGGUGAAGAUAAUGACGGUAACCGGAGAAGAAGCCCCGGCUAACUUCGUGCCAGCAGCCGCGGUAAUACGAAGGGGGCUAGCGUUGUUCGGAUUUACUGGGCGUAAAGCGCACGUAGGCGGACUAUUAAGUCAGGGGUGAAAUCCCGGGGCUCAACCCCGGAACUGCCUUUGAUACUGGUAGUCUUGAGUUCGAGAGAGGUGAGUGGAAUUCCGAGUGUAGAGGUGAAAUUCGUAGAUAUUCGGAGGAACACCAGUGGCGAAGGCGGCUCACUGGCUCGAUACUGACGCUGA
This 672-nucleotide ribosomal RNA is filed under the name alpha proteobacterium IMCC15103. RNAcentral describes it as "bacterial SSU rRNA". It matches the Rfam family "Bacterial small subunit ribosomal RNA", at positions 29 to 749 of the family's 1533-position model. Lineage: Bacteria; Pseudomonadati; Pseudomonadota; Alphaproteobacteria. The record is from RNAcentral.